UACGGAGGGGGCUAGCGUUGUUCGGAAUUACUGGGCGUAAAGCGCACGUAGGCGGCUUUGCAAGUUAGAGGUGAAAGCCCGGGGGCUCAACUCCGGAAUUGCCUUUAAAACUGCAUCGCUAGAGUUGUGGAGAGGUAAGUGGAAUUCCGAGUGUAGAGGUGAAAUUCGUAGAUAUUCGGAAGAACACCAGUGGCGAAGGCGACUUACUGGACACAUACUGACGCUGAGGUGCGAAAGCGUGGGGAGCAAACAGG
This 254-nucleotide ribosomal RNA is filed under the name uncultured bacterium. RNAcentral describes it as "partial 16S ribosomal RNA". It matches the Rfam family "Bacterial small subunit ribosomal RNA", at positions 524 to 776 of the family's 1533-position model. The record is from RNAcentral.